GGCCGAGUAGCUCAGUCGGUAGAGCAGGGGAUUGAAAAUCCCCGUGUCGGCGGUUCGAUUCCGUCCUCGGCCACCA
Molecule: transfer RNA, 76 nt
Filed under: Gammaproteobacteria bacterium
Lineage: Bacteria; Pseudomonadati; Pseudomonadota; Gammaproteobacteria
Also listed under: 9 other names
Description: tRNA-Phe
Rfam family: tRNA
About the family: Transfer RNA (tRNA) molecules are approximately 80 nucleotides in length.
Source: RNAcentral